This 680-nucleotide long non-coding RNA is filed under the name Dasypus novemcinctus (nine-banded armadillo). RNAcentral describes it as "lncRNA (ENSDNOG00000050326.1)". Lineage: Eukaryota; Metazoa; Chordata; Mammalia; Cingulata; Dasypodidae. The record is from RNAcentral.
CACCCCUUCCAUCUUUAGCCCAUCAGCUGUGCCUGGACCAGGUCUCCUGCGGCUGAGUUCAGAGAGGGAGCAGGGCUGAGCGGAGGCGGCAGAGGGAGGGGCAGAGAAAAUGGUCCGUAGCCACAACGCCAAUCAGCCUCACCAUUAGGGCCUGUGGCAUGAGACCCAGGGCAGUAAGAACGCAUUGCCUGACGCGUAGUAGGUGCUCAGUGAAUACGUGAAAGGACAAACAGAUGUUAACAAGAGGAGCCUCCCGACAGACGGUGCAGGAAAUUGCUCUCGUGGCUCAGGCGGGACCCCCUGCCUCGGGGCCCUGAGACGAGGUUGGGGAGCCCACGGCUGAGGGCACGAGCUGCCUGGGAGCCCCUUUCACGCUCCUGGCGUCCAGAGCGUCGGGGCACCCGGGGAGUGGCCGCAGCCGCUCGCUGACCUUGGCAUAGAUUCCCAGGCAGGCAUCCGGUCACAACCCACACCCUUCCCCCCUCUCCUUGUCAUCGGACGCAGCGCCAGGAGAGUGAGUAGCACCAAGUUCUGCCACUGAGCUGCUUACUGUCCGUGCGCCAGGAGAAUCACAGUCAGAGAGACUCAUCACUACCGCCUGAGAGGGACCUGCUGGGGCAGAGGUAGGAAAGCAAGGGUUGGGGCCAUUAGUUCUCCCACCGCAGCAAGAGAGGGCAGUG